This 253-nucleotide ribosomal RNA is filed under the name uncultured bacterium. RNAcentral's name for it is "partial 16S ribosomal RNA". It matches the Rfam family "Bacterial small subunit ribosomal RNA", at positions 524 to 776 of the family's 1533-position model. The record is from RNAcentral.
GACAGAGGGUGCAAACGUUGUUCGGAAUUACUGGGCGUAAAGCGCGUGUAGGCGGCCCUGCAAGUCGGAUGUGAAAUCCCACGGCUCAACCGUGGAAGUGCAUUCGAAACUGCAGGGCUAGAGUCCUGGAGAGGAAGGUGGAAUGCUUGGUGUAGAGGUGAAAUUCGUAGAUAUCGGGAGGAACACCAGUGGCGAAGGCGGCGAUCUGGGUCGAUACUGACGCUGAGGUGCGAAAGCGUGGGGAGCAAACAGG